Molecule: ribosomal RNA, 1383 nt
Filed under: Lactiplantibacillus plantarum subsp. plantarum
Lineage: Bacteria; Bacillati; Bacillota; Bacilli; Lactobacillales; Lactobacillaceae
Description: bacterial SSU rRNA
Rfam family: Bacterial small subunit ribosomal RNA
Source: RNAcentral
UGGUAUUGAUUGGUGCUUGCAUCAUGAUUUACAUUUGAGUGAGUGGCGAACUGGUGAGUAACACGUGGGAAACCUGCCCAGAAGCGGGGGAUAACACCUGGAAACAGAUGCUAAUACCGCAUAACAACUUGGACCGCAUGGUCCGAGUUUGAAAGAUGGCUUCGGCUAUCACUUUUGGAUGGUCCCGCGGCGUAUUAGCUAGAUGGUGGGGUAACGGCUCACCAUGGCAAUGAUACGUAGCCGACCUGAGAGGGUAAUCGGCCACAUUGGGACUGAGACACGGCCCAAACUCCUACGGGAGGCAGCAGUAGGGAAUCUUCCACAAUGGACGAAAGUCUGAUGGAGCAACGCCGCGUGAGUGAAGAAGGGUUUCGGCUCGUAAAACUCUGUUGUUAAAGAAGAACAUAUCUGAGAGUAACUGUUCAGGUAUUGACGGUAUUUAACCAGAAAGCCACGGCUAACUACGUGCCAGCAGCCGCGGUAAUACGUAGGUGGCAAGCGUUGUCCGGAUUUAUUGGGCGUAAAGCGAGCGCAGGCGGUUUUUUAAGUCUGAUGUGAAAGCCUUCGGCUCAACCGAAGAAGUGCAUCGGAAACUGGGAAACUUGAGUGCAGAAGAGGACAGUGGAACUCCAUGUGUAGCGGUGAAAUGCGUAGAUAUAUGGAAGAACACCAGUGGCGAAGGCGGCUGUCUGGUCUGUAACUGACGCUGAGGCUCGAAAGUAUGGGUAGCAAACAGGAUUAGAUACCCUGGUAGUCCAUACCGUAAACGAUGAAUGCUAAGUGUUGGAGGGUUUCCGCCCUUCAGUGCUGCAGCUAACGCAUUAAGCAUUCCGCCUGGGGAGUACGGCCGCAAGGCUGAAACUCAAAGGAAUUGACGGGGGCCCGCACAAGCGGUGGAGCAUGUGGUUUAAUUCGAAGCUACGCGAAGAACCUUACCAGGUCUUGACAUACUAUGCAAAUCUAAGAGAUUAGACGUUCCCUUCGGGGACAUGGAUACAGGUGGUGCAUGGUUGUCGUCAGCUCGUGUCGUGAGAUGUUGGGUUAAGUCCCGCAACGAGCGCAACCCUUAUUAUCAGUUGCCAGCAUUAAGUUGGGCACUCUGGUGAGACUGCCGGUGACAAACCGGAGGAAGGUGGGGAUGACGUCAAAUCAUCAUGCCCCUUAUGACCUGGGCUACACACGUGCUACAAUGGAUGGUACAACGAGUUGCGAACUCGCGAGAGUAAGCUAAUCUCUUAAAGCCAUUCUCAGUUCGGAUUGUAGGCUGCAACUCGCCUACAUGAAGUCGGAAUCGCUAGUAAUCGCGGAUCAGCAUGCCGCGGUGAAUACGUUCCCGGGCCUUGUACACACCGCCCGUCACACCAUGAGAGUUUGUAACACCCA